CAAGUUAGGAUUUAACCGGUCCAGUGUAGCAUUUUUUAAAAAGCUCCUUAGGUGAUGGAGUGUAAGAGCUGCUAAGAACCACUGCUACAGACCAAGUGCUGCAUCCUGAUACAAAACUGCCUCACCGAACAAUCAGGAUGUUCAGAGCAGCAACAAGAGGAAAACCACCAGCUAGAAUAAGAGAUCAAGAUGCGCCUGGAUAUAAAUCUUGCACAAAACACAGAAUUAUUUCACGGUUGGCCUUCUCUACACCAACUGCACCAAAACAGAUUUUCCCUGGGCUUGCACCAGGGGAUUGUGUCAAAUACAGGCUCAUGUCAACGUGGUCGUGAAUGACACCACUAUCAAAAACCCAAGUAACACUAGACAGUGUUGAAAACCUCAUGGCACCUAACCUCAGUAAGUCCGCAGGCAGAUGUCUGCCAGAGGAUUAGAGACCUCUAAUCGCCUAUAACAAAAAGCUUUCCUGUGCUUACCACAGAAGUUCUUUUAAAGUUCUACUGAAAGUUUCCUUCCCUGAUUUGUUCAACUGUAAAAUUUCAAACAGAGUGCUACAAAAGACCACGGUUGCAGGCAGCAGAGAGAAAAAGGAGGGUCACAUAAUCCAAGGAUGCGAGGAUCUGGAAACGCCAGCAUACCUCUCUGGGAAUGAAGCAUCUAGUGUGGCCUGAUGUCAGAACACCUCCUUCCUAAUUACCCACCUGCCUUUGACAUGACUCAGCAGAGACCUAUAAACACCGCCCCUCGGUGACCCAAUGGAGCACUGCCUCCUCAGUCCUCACUGCUAAAGGUGUAGGGGCAGAAGAGCCCUGAGAGAUGGAAUUUAGUCCCAACCUGUAAAGGAAAUCACCAAGCAAAAUUUCUAAUAACUGCUUAUUCUAGACUCUUUGGAAAUAAUAUUAAAUAACAGCCACUGCCCUGGAAAAAUUCCUGUCAGUCUGGAGAAACGUGAGAAAAAAUUGCAACAAGGCCCUUGGCUAGGAAUCAAUAAAGAAACCUAAGUAGAACA
Molecule: long non-coding RNA, 1009 nt
Organism: Suricata suricatta (meerkat)
Lineage: Eukaryota; Metazoa; Chordata; Mammalia; Carnivora; Herpestidae
Exons: 2
Source: RefSeq, a predicted model, not a curated record